UUUUCUUCCUUCAGGUGUUCCUGCUCUUAUACCAUUCUGCCUCACUAGAGCCCAGGACUUUGGGUCGAAAUUUGAAAUUAUCCUGUAAUGUGUCUGUCAAAUAGUUUCUCACAGGGACAAAUAAGGAAGACAUUAAAGGAGCAGAAGUAAUGAUUUAGAAAUUCACGUUUCUGGGCUGGUGGAAGAUACUGGCUGCCAAAUCUAACAAGCUGAGAUGGAACCCCAGACUUAGUGGAUUGGCCUCUUAAAGUUGACCUCUGACCACCACAUAUUCAUCAUGGCUGCAUGGACAAUCAGAAAUGUGCAUAAAAGAACUUGUGCUGCAUACAGAAGAUCAACGAUUCUCUUCAGG
Long non-coding RNA from Grammomys surdaster, 352 nucleotides. RefSeq lists it as uncharacterized. The transcript has 3 exons. The record is from RefSeq and is a predicted model, not a curated record. NCBI's taxonomy places the organism in Eukaryota, Metazoa, Chordata, Mammalia, Rodentia, Muridae.